This 1312-nucleotide ribosomal RNA is filed under the name Kribbella sp. RNAcentral describes it as "bacterial SSU rRNA". It matches the Rfam family "Bacterial small subunit ribosomal RNA", at positions 92 to 1418 of the family's 1533-position model. The record is from RNAcentral. Lineage: Bacteria; Bacillati; Actinomycetota; Actinomycetes; Propionibacteriales; Kribbellaceae.
CGAGCGGCGAACGGGUGAGUAACACGUGAGCAACCUACCCUCAACUUCGGGAUAAGCCUCGGAAACAAGGUCUAAUACCGGAUAUCACUCCUUUCCUCAUGGUUUGGGGUUGAAAGUUCUGGCGGUUGGGGAUGGGCUCGCGGCCUAUCAGCUUGUUGGUGGGGUAAUGGCCUACCAAGGCGUCGACGGGUAGCCGGCCUGAGAGGGCGACCGGCCACACUGGGACUGAGACACGGCCCAGACUCCUACGGGAGGCAGCAGUGGGGAAUAUUGCGCAAUGGACGAAAGUCUGACGCAGCAACGCCGCGUGAGGGAUGACGGCCUUCGGGUUGUAAACCUCUUUCAGCAGGGACGAAGCGAGAGUGACGGUACCUGCAGAAGAAGGACCGGCCAACUACGUGCCAGCAGCCGCGGUAAUACGUAGGGUCCGAGCGUUGUCCGGAAUUAUUGGGCGUAAAGGGCUCGUAGGCGGUUCGUCACGUCGGGAGUGAAAACUCGGAGCUCAACUCCGAGCCUGCUUCCGAUACGGGCAGACUAGAGGUAGGCAGGGGAGAGCGGAACUCCUGGUGUAGCGGUGGAAUGCGCAGAUAUCAGGAAGAACACCGGUGGCGAAGGCGGCUCUCUGGGCCUUACCUGACGCUGAGGAGCGAAAGCGUGGGUAGCGAACAGGAUUAGAUACCCUGGUAGUCCACGCCGUAAACGUUGGGCGCUAGGUGUGGGGGACAUUCCACGUCCUCCGUGCCGCAGCUAACGCAUUAAGCGCCCCGCCUGGGGAGUACGGCCGCAAGGCUAAAACUCAAAGGAAUUGACGGGGGCCCGCACAAGCGGCGGAGCAUGCGGAUUAAUUCGAUGCAACGCGAAGAACCUUACCUGGGUUUGACAUAUAGGGAAAUCCUCCAGAGAUGGGGGGUCCGUAAGGGUCCUAUACAGGUGGUGCAUGGCUGUCGUCAGCUCGUGUCGUGAGAUGUUGGGUUAAGUCCCGCAACGAGCGCAACCCUCGUCCUAUGUUGCCAGCACGUUAUGGUGGGGACUCAUAGGAGACUGCCGGGGUCAACUCGGAGGAAGGUGGGGAUGACGUCAAGUCAUCAUGCCCCUUAUGUCCAGGGCUUCACGCAUGCUACAAUGGCCGGUACAAAGGGCUGCGAAACCGCAAGGUGGAGCGAAUCCCAAAAAGCCGGUCUCAGUUCGGAUUGGGGUCUGCAACUCGACCCCAUGAAGUCGGAGUCGCUAGUAAUCGCAGAUCAGCAACGCUGCGGUGAAUACGUUCCCGGGCCUUGUACACACCGCCCGUCACGUCAUGAAAGUCGGCAAC